RNAcentral lists this ribosomal RNA (253 nucleotides) under uncultured bacterium. Its description in RNAcentral is "partial 16S ribosomal RNA". It matches the Rfam family "Bacterial small subunit ribosomal RNA", at positions 524 to 776 of the family's 1533-position model. The record is from RNAcentral.
UACGGAGGGAGCUAGCGUUGUUCGGAAUUACUGGGCGUAAAGCGUGCGCAGGCGGCUUUGCAAGACAGAUGUGAAAUCCCCGGGCUUAACCUGGGAACUGCGUUUGUAACUGGCAAGCUAGAGUGUGGCAGAGGGGGGUGGAAUUCCAAGUGUAGCAGUGAAAUGCGUAGAUAUUUGGAGGAACACCAAUGGCGAAGGCAGCCCCCUGGGUUAACACUGACGCUCAUGCACGAAAGCGUGGGGAGCAAACAGG